This is a non-coding RNA of Microcebus murinus (gray mouse lemur), 665 nucleotides long. The record is from RefSeq and is a predicted model, not a curated record. NCBI's taxonomy places the organism in Eukaryota, Metazoa, Chordata, Mammalia, Primates, Cheirogaleidae.
AACAGCUCCGACUGUCAGUGCCGGCCUUCCUCGUGGAAGGGGAUCUGCCGGACCCUUACUAAUUCAAUUUCUUUCCCAUUCCGGGCCCUUCCCUAUCGUCGCCCCCUUCACCUUGGAUCAUGUUCAAGAAAUUUGAUGAAAAAGAAAAUGUGUCCAACUGCAUCCAGUUGAAAACUUCAGUUAUUAAGUGUAUUAGUAACCAAUUAAUGGAGCAAUUUCCAGGUAUUGAACCCUGGCUUAAUCAAAUCAUGCCUAAGAAAGAUCCUGUCAAAAUAGUCCGAUGCCAUGAACAUAUAGAAAUCCUUACAGUAAAUGGAGAAUUACUAUGUUUUAGACAACGAGAGGGGCCUUUUUACCCAACCCUAAGGUUACUUCACAAAUAUCCUUUUAUCCUGCCACACCAGCAGGUUGAUAAAGGAGCCAUCAAAUUUGUACUCAGUGGAGCAAUAUCAUGUGCCCAGGCUUAACUUCUCCUGGAGCUAAGCUUGACCCUGCUGCAGUAGACACCAUUGUGGCUACCAUGGCAGAAGGAACACAGCAUGCUCUAUGUGUUGGAGUCAUGAAGAUGUCUGCAGAAGAUAUUGAGAAAAUCAACAAAGGAAUUGGCAUUGAAAAUAUCCAUUAUUGAAAUAGAUGGGCUGUGGCAUAUAAAGAACAAUGAAUGA